This 429-nucleotide ribosomal RNA is filed under the name Bacteroidota bacterium. RNAcentral describes it as "Bacteroidetes bacterium partial 16S ribosomal RNA". It matches the Rfam family "Bacterial small subunit ribosomal RNA", at positions 355 to 776 of the family's 1533-position model. The record is from RNAcentral. Lineage: Bacteria; Pseudomonadati; Bacteroidota.
UAGGGAAUCUUCGGCAAUGGGGGGAACCCUGACCGAGCAACGCCGCGUGAGUGAAGAAGGUUUUCGGAUCGUAAAGCUCUGUUGUUAAGGAAGAACGAGUGUGAGAAUGGAAAGUUCAUGCUGUGACGGUACUUAACCAGAAAGGGACGGCUAACUACGUGCCAGCAGCCGCGGUAAUACGUAGGUCCCGAGCGUUGUCCGGAUUUAUUGGGCGUAAAGCGAGCGCAGGCGGUUAGAAAAGUCUGAAGUGAAAGGCAGUGGCUCAACCAUUGUAGGCUUUGGAAACUGUUUAACUUGAGUGCGGAAGGGGAGAGUGGAAUUCCAUGUGUAGCGGUGAAAUGCGUAGAUAUAUGGAGGAACACCGAUGGCGAAAGCGGCUCUCUGGUCUGUAACUGACGCUGAGGCUCGAAAGCGUGGGGAGCGAACAGG